This 25-nucleotide non-coding RNA is filed under the name Mus musculus (house mouse). Lineage: Eukaryota; Metazoa; Chordata; Mammalia; Rodentia; Muridae. The record is from RNAcentral.
UAACAGUUAUGGCUAUGUACCUUUG